RNAcentral lists this ribosomal RNA (617 nucleotides) under uncultured bacterium. RNAcentral describes it as "bacterial SSU rRNA". It matches the Rfam family "Bacterial small subunit ribosomal RNA", at positions 395 to 1004 of the family's 1533-position model. The record is from RNAcentral.
UGCCGCGUGUGUGAAGAAGGCCUUCGGGUUGUAAAGCACUUUCAGACGUGAGGAAAAGCUAAGUAUUAAUACUAUUUAGCCCUGACGUUAACGUCAGAAGAAGCACCGGCUAACUCCGUGCCAGCAGCCGCGGUAAUACGGAGGGUGCAAGCGUUAAUCGGAAUUACUGGGCGUAAAGCGCGCGUAGGCGGUUAUUUAAGUCAGAUGUGAAAUCCCUGGGCUCAACCUAGGAACUGCAUUUGAUACUGGAUAGCUAGAGUAUGGUAGAGGUGAGUGGAAUUUCAGGUGUAGCGGUGAAAUGCGUAGAGAUCUGAAGGAACAUCAGUGGCGAAGGCGACUCACUGGGCCAUUACUGACGCUGAGGUGCGAAAGCGUGGGUAGCAAACAGGAUUAGAUACCCUGGUAGUCCACGCCCUAAACGAUGUCAACUAGGUGUAUGGAACUUUAUGUUCUGUGUAUCGAAGCUAACGCGAUAAGUUGACCGCCUGGGGAGUACGGCCGCAAGGCUAAAACUCAAAUGAAUUGACGGGGGCCCGCACAAGCGGUGGAGCAUGUGGUUUAAUUCGAUGCAACGCGAAGAACCUUACCUGGUCUUGACAUGUAGCGAACUUUCCAGA